UCGAGAAUUUUUCUCAAUGGGGGAAACCCUGAAGGAGCGACGCCGCGUGGAGGAUGAAGGGCUUCGGCUUGUAAACUCCUGUCAUUUGGGAACAAGCUGUACGUAUUAACUGUACGUGCAUUGAUAGUACCAGAAGAGGAAGAGACGGCUAACUCUGUGCCAGCAGCCGCGGUAAUACAGAGGUCUCAAGCGUUGUUCGGAUUCAUUGGGCGUAAAGGGUGCGUAGGUGGCGCCGUAAGUGGGGUGUGAAAUCUCGGGGCUUAACUCCGAAACUGCAUUCCAUACUGCGGUGCUUGAGGACUGGAGAGGAGACUGGAAUUCAUGGUGUAGCAGUGAAAUGCGUAGAGAUCAUGAGGAAGACCAGUGGCGAAGGCGGGUCUCUGGACAGUUCCUGACACUGAGGCACGAAGGCCAGGGGAGCAAACGGGAUUAGAUACCCCUGUAGUCC
This 448-nucleotide ribosomal RNA is filed under the name uncultured bacterium. RNAcentral's name for it is "bacterial SSU rRNA". It matches the Rfam family "Bacterial small subunit ribosomal RNA", at positions 355 to 796 of the family's 1533-position model. The record is from RNAcentral.